AAGAACUAACUAGGAUUCCCUUAGUAACGGCGAGUGAAGAGGGAGAAGCCCAGCACCGAAGCCUGCGGCAGUUUUGCUGUUAGGCAAUGUGGUGUUUGGGUCGACUAGUGGGAUUGCCACUCCGCUCGAAGUCCAGCAUUGAGUAUGGUACCCUGGAUUUGGCCCAUAGAGGGUGAAAGGCCCGUGCGAGCGGAUGUUUCAGACAUGAAAGGCAGUUCAUCAGGUCGACCUUCGAGUCGGGUUGUUUGAGAAUGCAGCCCUAAGCGGGUGGUAAACUCCAUCCAAGGCUAAAUACAAGCACGAGUCCGAUAGCGAACAAGUACCGUGAGGGAAAGUUGAAAAGUACUCUGAAGAGAGAGUAAACAGUACGUGAAACCGUAUAGAGGUAAACGGGUGGCGUCAAGCUGCAAGCCCUGAGGAUUCAGUCGGCCGUUGUGUAGUGUGUAUGCUUUGUGUUCCUCAGUCGGUGAUAGUGGGCGGUCCGCUGUGAUGGUGGGCCAGGCCGCAAGGUCUGGAUGUACGUACCACAUGUUCUGUGGCGUACGCCGCUCAACUAUUGGACUGGACGGCCGAUGCACUUCCUCUGUAUGGGUGAACACCACGACCGGUGGAACUGCCAGUCUGGCAUAGCCAAGUUGCGCCUGGUCCGGCAUUCGUGUCGACCGGGUGCGAUCACAGGCAAAUUCGGUGGACGGUGGAUGGUCCUUCGGGGCUGUUCAUGUUAUCGGUCACUGAUUGUCAACGGGUCUGUCUUCGAUGGUUGCAGUCCUCGAGGAUGGCCUGGUGGGCUUUGCUGGUAUGAAUAACUGUGCAGGGCACCGGAAUUGUCGGUCUCAAAUUCCGGUUGGCGCGCACACUGCAAGUGUGAGUGUCGGCGUCAUCGCGGCCUGUCGAUGGUUGGGUCUGAUCGUCGUGUUGCGCGCGAAAAGCGCGCCCGGCGGUGGCCUGGUCUCGGAUGGUGCUGUUGGUGGCGCUGCCGUGCGCCGACCGGUGUGGACCUGAUAGUCUGUGGUGUAGUGGUAGACCAGCCACCCGACCCGUCUUGAAACACGGACCAAGAAGUUCAACAUGCACGCGAGUCAAUGGGCGUAACGAAACCCAAAGGCGAAGUGAAAGCGAAGCCUCGACUUGUUCUCGGGGUGUGGUGAGAUCCUGCCGUUACUCGCAUCUGCACUGUUGUGUUUUGUGUCUCCACACAGGGCAAAGAGCGGUAGGCGCAUCACCGGCCCGUCCCAUGAUGUGGUUAUUGGUAUGCUGCCGUUGCGGCCUCCGUCGCUUCGGCGCUCCAGUACGUCAUCGGGGCGGAGCUUGAGCGUGCAUGUUGAGACCCGAAAGAUGGUGAACUAUGCUUGCGUAGGUUGAAGCCAGAGGAAACUCUGGUGGAGGACCGCAGCGAUUCUGACGUGCAAAUCGAUCGUCAAACGUGAGUAUAGGGGCGAAAGACUAAUCGAAC
This 1453-nucleotide ribosomal RNA is filed under the name Prochristianella sp. 7LS. RNAcentral's name for it is "partial large subunit ribosomal RNA". It matches the Rfam family "Eukaryotic large subunit ribosomal RNA", at positions 56 to 940 of the family's 3401-position model. The record is from RNAcentral. Lineage: Eukaryota; Metazoa; Platyhelminthes; Cestoda; Trypanorhyncha; Eutetrarhynchidae.